AUUGAACGCUGGCGGAAUGCUUUACACAUGCAAGUCGAACGGCAGCACGGACUUCGGUCUGGUGGCGAGUGGCGAACGGGUGAGUAAUGUAUCGGAACGUGCCCAGUCGUGGGGGAUAACGUAGUGAAAAUUACGCUAAUACCGCAUACGAUCUAUGGAUGAAAGCGGGGGAUCGCAAGACCCCGCGCGAUUGGAGCGGCCGAUAUCAGAUUAGGUAGUUGGUGGGGUAAAGGCCCACCAAGCCAACGAUCUGUAGCUGGUCUGAGAGGACGACCAGCCACACUGGAACUGAGACACGGUCCAGACUCCUACGGGAGGCAGCAGUGGGGAAUUUUGGACAAUGGGCGAAAGCCUGAUCCAGCCAUUCCGCGUGCAGGAUGAAGGCCCUCGGGUUGUAAACUGCUUUUGUACAGAACGAAGAGGUUUCUACUAAUACUAGGAGCUCAUGACGGUACUGUAAGAAUAAGCACCGGCUAACUACGUGCCAGCAGCCGCAGUAA
RNAcentral lists this ribosomal RNA (500 nucleotides) under uncultured bacterium. Its description in RNAcentral is "partial 16S ribosomal RNA". It matches the Rfam family "Bacterial small subunit ribosomal RNA", at positions 30 to 523 of the family's 1533-position model. The record is from RNAcentral.